Molecule: unclassified non-coding RNA, 390 nt
Filed under: Bombus terrestris (buff-tailed bumblebee)
Lineage: Eukaryota; Metazoa; Arthropoda; Insecta; Hymenoptera; Apidae
Description: misc RNA ENSBTSG00005022279.1
Source: RNAcentral
CAAGGAAGCGUCCUAGGCCCAAUACUAUACACAUUAUACACGGCGAACAUACCAACAACUACCAACAGCAAAAUACUGACAUUCGCGGACGACACAGCUGUACUAGUCGGGCACACUAACCCAGAAACGGCAGUCAAAUUGCUAAAAGAACAUAUCACAAAAAUAGAAAAGUGGCUGCAAGAUAAACAAAUAAAAGCGAAACCCAAUAAAUGCAACCAUAUUACAUUCACACUGCAAAAACAGAUAUCACCAAACAUCCUUCUGAACGGCACGCAUAUAAUACGAACAAAGCAAGUCAAAUACAUAGGACUCCACUUAGAUACACAACUCACAUGGAAACAGCAUACUAAAUCAAUAAUAGACAAAAUACAGACAACGAGGAGACAAAUG